UAAGGAAUAUUGCUCAAUGGGAGAAAUCCUGAAGCAGCAACGCCGCGUGGAGGAUGAAGGGUCUAUGACUUGUAAACUCCUGUAAAGAAGGAAAAAAUUCUUAUUUGAUGGGAGAUGAUGGUACUUCUGGAGUAAGCCCCGGCUAACUACGUGCCAGCAGCCGCGGUAAUACGUAGGGGGCAAGCGUUGUCCGGAUUUACUGGGUGUAAAGGGUGCUCAGGCGGAUUUGUAAGUCAGAGGUGAAAUCUUACAGCUUAACUGUGAAACUGCCUUUGAUACUGCAAGCCUAGAGUAUGGAAGAGAGUGAUGGAAUAUCUGGUGUAGCAGUGAAAUGCGUAGAUAUCAGAUAGAACACCAAUGGCGAAGGCAGUCACUUGGUCCAUUACUGACGCUAAAGCACGAAAGCGUGGGUAGCAAACA
This 420-nucleotide ribosomal RNA is filed under the name uncultured bacterium. RNAcentral describes it as "bacterial SSU rRNA". It matches the Rfam family "Bacterial small subunit ribosomal RNA", at positions 355 to 774 of the family's 1533-position model. The record is from RNAcentral.